UAGGGAAUCUUCCGCAAUGGGCGAAAGCCUGACGGAGCAACGCCGCGUGAGUGAUGAAGGUCUUAGGAUCGUAAAACUCUGUUAUUAGGGAAGAACAAACGUGUAAGUAACUGUGCACGUCUUGACGGUACCUAAUCAGAAAGCCACGGCUAACUACGUGCCAGCAGCCGCGGUAAUACGUAGGUGGCAAGCGUUAUCCGGAAUUAUUGGGCGUAAAGCGCGCGUAGGCGGUUUUUUAAGUCUGAUGUGAAAGCCCACGGCUCAACCGUGGAGGGUCAUUGGAAACUGGAAAACUUGAGUGCAGAAGAGGAAAGUGGAAUUCCAUGUGUAGCGGUGAAAUGCGCAGAGAUAUGGAGGAACACCAGUGGCGAAGGCGACUUUCUGGUCUGUAACUGACGCUGAUGUGCGAAAGCGUGGGGAUCAAACA
This 427-nucleotide ribosomal RNA is filed under the name uncultured bacterium. RNAcentral's name for it is "partial 16S ribosomal RNA". It matches the Rfam family "Bacterial small subunit ribosomal RNA", at positions 355 to 774 of the family's 1533-position model. The record is from RNAcentral.